GGCCAAGGAAGAGGCAGCCAUGGCCAGAGGCAAGGGAAGGACAAACCAAGAUAAUGUAAAAGUACUAAGGAAUGCUCCCAGUGUGCAGGAUCUCUGAGACAAGUCUCUCUCUUGCUGUACAAAACGUUUUAGCUUUGCUCAGGCCUUUGAAAGACAGAAAAGUGCUAACAGUCACUUCAACAAAAAUAGGAGGGCAGCAUUCGUGUGUCUGAAUGGAGCAUCAGUUUUCAAAAAAAUCAAGCUGUCCUGGCCAACCUGUCACUUAGUGGGACGCACUGGACACUGGAAGCCUGUGGAAUGUUCUUAUUCCAGUGAAUCACAAGGGCAGCCAAGCCUGGCUCUGCUUCGCUUUGUGGGAAGUGAAUGAACUUAUGUCACACAGUUGCUCUCUUGUGUUCUCAUCACUCAAAUAACUCACUGCAGAGGUGAGGUUCAUGACGCCUUCGCCACUCGGCUUGGGUGUAUGAUCAAGUUAUACCAAGAAAGUGACCCACUUCAGCCUGUCCAGCGGAGCGGUCUCUGAAGAGCUGCAUGUUUUUCCCCUCUCUGGGUGUGAAAAAGUCCUCCCAAACCUGUGCUGAGGUUAAGAGCAGCUAGCUCUUAAUGAAGCCAGGCCAGAAAAGGAUGCAAUUGGAAAAUACUGGAAGGAACAUGCCUUGGCUCUGUUUCAUCCUUUUGUCAACUGCAUGUGAAGGUUUAUAAUGCCUCCUGAGUUUACUGGAUCCAUCAUCUUGGAUUCCUAGGCAGUAGCAACAGCAAGAAAUGCAGAAAACUGCACCUUUUGCUCCUGCUUAAAUAUGUACCCACAGUCACUCCUGCUUGUCACUACAGGCUGAAGCUGAUGGCCUUGAAACUUCAGUCCAUGCCAGUGGCAUGGCAUCCUGGUGCUGCAGUGUUACCCUCCCAUGAACCUCACCUUACCUUGGGCUAGUUUGGGACUGGUUGCCAUUUAGGAGGUUGAGGACCGCUAUGUUGCUCAGAAGCAAUUGCUGCAGCCCACACAGAUGUGGAGCUGUGGAGAGACAGGACCGAAGCCUUCUGGUGCGUGAAGGAUAAGCCCACCUUGGAUUUAUUUUCAGCAUGUAUUAACGAUGUGUGUGUGUACAAAGAAAAUCUGCCUUGUGCUACAAGGCAAGAUACAGCCAGCAAAUCUCUUUUCAAAUUCACAGUACAUCAAAUGUAAAUGAGAUAAAGAGAGGUCUCAUUUGGACAACAAAAUGUCUCCACACAAUUGCUCCUCUAGGCAUCCUAGCAACCUUUUCAAGAGAUGCUGGUUAUCGUGCAAUAAAGCUGUUCUUCUGCAGUGCUGAGGGAGGAGGCAACUGGCUACAGUCUCAGAUGGUGGACAGAAUUACAGUGGGUUAUGUCAGGAAAGCGUAACGUUAAACGUGCAUUUGAAAAAAGGAGAAAACAAAAAAUAAUAGUCACGGCCUGAAUUAUAGCAGCUUUCUAUGAUGAAGUGUGUGGACCCCACCCAGCAUCUGUGGUAGAGGAGGGAAGGUGUCUGCUAAACCCAACGGUUAUGAUGGGAAUGGAAAAAGCCAGGCUCCAGCUGAGAGUAGGACAGGGAGGAUGAGGAAACAGUUUCAUGUUUCUCCCAGCAAAACCUCAGGGGAUAAAGAUUACUGCUGCAAAAACUUUAAUGGUAGUAAAAGCCUUUGGCUGCAGAAGUUGUUUAUAACGGAGGUGUAUUAACCGCUUAGAGACCUCAGCUGAAGAGGACUCUGAUAUUUCACUGAAUCUAAGUUGCAAAAUCCUUUUUUCUCUCUCAAAAAGCCUCUGCAUCAGAAAACUUAAUUUAUUGGAUACACAUGGAGUUUGGCUGGGAGACAUUAUAUGCUGUGUGUCAGACAUGUCCCGAUAACGCCCUGCUUUCAGGUCCCGACAGCUGAGCUCACCACUUGGCUAGUGCACUAUUCACUGGAUUUUGAGUCUGAUCAUAAGUAUGUCACUUUGCGUUAGUUUCUGAAACUAAAAUAUUUCACAAGCAGUAGUGUUAGACGCUUGCUUGCUCUGAAGGAUUCUCAGCAGAGCUGGGCAAGCUAUUUGCAAUCAUCAACUGCUUAAUUGCAUUUAAUCUUUUACAAAGUAGGCAAGAACUAAGCAAUGAUGUCUUCCACUUCUUUGCUUGAAAGAUUUCAGUGUGCUCUGUGCAAACAUGAUUCAGCCUCUGAACCGCUUGAUUUUUAACCUGGAAGUUGGCAUGAUUCAGUAAGUGUGCAUGAGAGGUGGGAUCAGGUUUCUGAUGCAAAGGACCAUGAGGGAGAAUUCAAGCUUGGUUUAUGCAAAGCUGCAGCCUCCAUCAGCGCUCCCUUGUUCACUGGGGCAUUUGUACAAACUGAAGAAAAUGGGUCUUAGUCUGUUUAAAAGCUUUUGCAGAUAUAAAGAAUUACUCAAGAACAUUUGUGUCACUACUUACACAUGGGGGUUUUAUUGUUUCAGGUCUACUUCCUGAAGGUUUGAGGCCCAAAGACUACUUGUAGCUACUUUCUACUGUCUUCUAUUCUGGCUACUCCUCUUUCACCGAGAAAAACACUGGGAAGUUGUAAUCUAAUAGCAUAAACAGCCUCAGCAGCAAGUGAAAAAGUGUGCUCUGCAGAGGUUCAAAACAGAUCAGACAGGCCUCGCUGGGGGAUAUGAGAGGUGAAGCGUAGCCCAGACCAAUAAAUUCUCCUCUGUUGGCUCUGCACAGGUCUGCUCAAGUGUCUCAGCCCUGCACUGCCGGAGCUGAGCGCGCCGUGGUUUGGCACAGCCAGCCAAAACCAGCCCCGUUUAUUAGCUUGGUCUCAGAACUGGGGGUGCCCUGGGUGGAGGCAGCAGGAGGAGGCACGAGGAGCUGCAGAGCCCUGGGAACUAGUGAGGACGAGCAGGGAUGGACACGGAGGGGAGAGGGGCCAAGAGCAGGCGGUGGUGAGGCAUGGGAAACUCGGCAGGUUCCUCAAGCCAGGUUUACAGAAAGAUUAGCAAGUGCGAAAACAGAGCGUGGGGCACUCUAUGCUGCCAGGAGGCUGUCAGGGAAGGAAGAUAGUAUUUGCCGCUGACAGAGAAGUUGAGGGAGCAAAGAACAGAGGUAAACUGGUUUCACUGCUGACCUUCAGACUUAAUUUGUU
This is a long non-coding RNA of Calidris pugnax (ruff), 3110 nucleotides long. RefSeq lists it as uncharacterized. Lineage: Eukaryota; Metazoa; Chordata; Aves; Charadriiformes; Scolopacidae. The record is from RefSeq and is a predicted model, not a curated record. The transcript is spliced from 4 exons.